CCUACGGGUGGCUGCAGUGAGGAAUAUUGGUCAAUGGGCGCGAGCCUGAACCAGCCAAGUAGCGUGAAGGAUGACUGCCCUACGGGUUGUAAACUUCUUUUAUAAAGGAAUAAAGUGAGGCACGUGUGCCUUUUUGCAUGUACUUUAUGAAUAAGGAUCGGCUAACUCCGUGCCAGCAGCCGCGGUAAUACGGAGGAUCCGAGCGUUAUCCGGAUUUAUUGGGUUUAAAGGGAGCGUAGAUGGGUUGUUAAGUCAGUUGUGAAAGUUUGCGGCUCAACCGUAAAAUUGCAAUUGAUACUGGCGGCCUUGAGUAUACGUGAAGUAGGCGGAAUGCGUGGUGUAGCGGUGAAAUGCUUAGAUAUCACGAAGAACUCCGAUUGCGAAGGCAGCUUACUAAAGUGCAACUGACGUUGAUGCUCGAAAGUGUGGGUAUCGAACAGGAUUAGAUACCCGAGUAGUC
This 460-nucleotide ribosomal RNA is filed under the name uncultured bacterium. RNAcentral's name for it is "partial 16S ribosomal RNA". It matches the Rfam family "Bacterial small subunit ribosomal RNA", at positions 338 to 795 of the family's 1533-position model. The record is from RNAcentral.